This 437-nucleotide ribosomal RNA is filed under the name uncultured bacterium. Its description in RNAcentral is "bacterial SSU rRNA". It matches the Rfam family "Bacterial small subunit ribosomal RNA", at positions 338 to 795 of the family's 1533-position model. The record is from RNAcentral.
CCUACGGGCAGCAGUGGGGAAUAUUGGACAAUGGGCGAAAGCCUGAUCCAGCAAUGCCGCGUGUGUGAAGAAGGUCUUCGGAUUGUAAAGCACUUUCGACGGGGACGAUGAUGACGGUACCCGUAGAAGAAGCCCCGGCUAACUUCGUGCCAGCAGCCGCGGUAAUACGAAGGGGGCUAGCGUUGCUCGGAAUGACUGGGCGUAAAGGGCGCGUAGGCGGUUUAUGCAGUCAGAUGUGAAAUCCCCGGGCUUAACCUGGGAACUGCAUUUGAGACGCAUAGACUAGAGGUCGAGAGAGGGUUGUGGAAUUCCCAGUGUAGAGGUGAAAUUCGUAGAUAUUGGGAAGAACACCGGUGGCGAAGGCGGCAACCUGGCUCGAUACUGACGCUGAGGCGCGAAAGCGUGGGGAGCAAACAGGAUUAGAUACCCCUGUAGUC